UUCCCACUGACGAGUCCCAAAUAGGACGAAACGUGCGCCGUGGAU
This 45-nucleotide non-coding RNA is filed under the name Schistosoma mansoni. Lineage: Eukaryota; Metazoa; Platyhelminthes; Trematoda; Strigeidida; Schistosomatidae. The record is from RNAcentral.